UGGUGUAGUCUCAUGUGACUUGUC
Molecule: non-coding RNA, 24 nt
Filed under: Rattus norvegicus (Norway rat)
Lineage: Eukaryota; Metazoa; Chordata; Mammalia; Rodentia; Muridae
Source: RNAcentral